AACGAACGCUGGCGGCAGGCCUAACACAUGCAAGUCGAGCGAGGUAGCAAUACCUAGCGGCGGACGGGUGAGUAACGCGUGGGAACGUACCCUUUGCUACGGAAUAGCCCCGGGAAACUGGGAGUAAUACCGUAUGUGCCCUUCGGGGGAAAGAUUUAUCGGCAAAGGAUCGGCCCGCGUUGGAUUAGGUAGUUGGUGGGGUAAUGGCCUACCAAGCCGACGAUCCAUAGCUGGUUUGAGAGGAUGAUCAGCCACACUGGGACUGAGACACGGCCCAGACUCCUACGGGAGGCAGCAGUGGGGAAUCUUAGACAAUGGGCGCAAGCCUGAUCUAGCCAUGCCGCGUGAGUGAUGAAGGCCUUAGGGUUGUAAAGCUCUUUCAGAUGGGAAGAUAAUGACGGUACCAUCAGAAGAAGCCCCGGCUAACUCCGUGCCAGCAGCCGCGGU
Molecule: ribosomal RNA, 447 nt
Filed under: uncultured bacterium
Lineage: Bacteria
Description: bacterial SSU rRNA
Rfam family: Bacterial small subunit ribosomal RNA
Source: RNAcentral